RNAcentral lists this ribosomal RNA (494 nucleotides) under uncultured bacterium. RNAcentral's name for it is "partial 16S ribosomal RNA". It matches the Rfam family "Bacterial small subunit ribosomal RNA", at positions 28 to 507 of the family's 1533-position model. The record is from RNAcentral.
GACGAACGCUGGCGGCGCGCUUAACACAUGCAAGUCGAACGGAAAGGCCUGCUUUCCCUUGUGGAUUGCGGGUACUCGAGUGGCGAACGGGUGAGUAACACGUGAGUGAUCUGCCCCCAACUUGGGUAUAAGCCUGGGAAACUGGGUCUAAUUCCCGAUAGGACUGCAGGGUGGUGCCUGUGGUGGAAAACGAUUUUCUAGUGGUUGGGGAUGAGCUCGCGGCCUAUCAGCUUGUUGGUGGGGUAAUGGCCUACCAAGGCGGCGACGGGUAGCCGGCCUGAGAGGGUGGACGGCCAAAUUGGGACUGAGAUACGGCCCAGACUCCUACGGGAGGCAGCAGUGGGGAAUAUUGCACAAUGGGCGGAAGCCUGAUGCAGCGACGCCGCGUGGGGGAUGACGGCCUUCGGGUUGUAAACUCCUUUCGACCGCGAGGAAGCCACCUGGUUGGAAGGGUGGUGGCGGUAGUGGCAGAAGAAGCACCGGCUAACUACGUG